GGGUUGUGAGGUUAAGCGACUAAGCGUACACGGUGGAUGCCCUGGCAGUCAGAGGCGAUGAAGGACGUGCUAAUCUGCGAUAAGCGUCGGUAAGGUGAUAUGAACCGUUAUAACCGGCGAUUUCCGAAUGGGGAAACCCAGUGUGUUUCGACACACUAUCAUUAACUGAAUCCAUAGGUUAAUGAGGCGAACCGGGGGAACUGAAACAUCUAAGUACCCCGAGGAAAAGAAAUCAACCGAGAUUCCCCCAGUAGCGGCGAGCGAACGGGGAGCAGCCCAGAGCCUGAAUCAGUAUGUGUGUUAGUGGAAGCGUCUGGAAAGGCGCGCGAUACAGGGUGACAGCCCCGUACACAAAAAUGCACAUAUUGUGAGCUCGAUGAGUAGGGCGGGACACGUGGUAUCCUGUCUGAAUAUGGGGGGACCAUCCUCCAAGGCUAAAUACUCCUGACUGACCGAUAGUGAACCAGUACCGUGAGGGAAAGGCGAAAAGAACCCCGGCGAGGGGAGUGAAAAAGAACCUGAAACCGUGUACGUACAAGCAGUGGGAGCACGCUUAGGCGUGUGACUGCGUACCUUUUGUAUAAUGGGUCAGCGACUUAUAUUCUGUAGCAAGGUUAACCGAAUAGGGGAGCCGAAGGGAAACCGAGUCUUAACUGGGCGCUAAGUUGCAGGGUAUAGACCCGAAACCCGGUGAUCUAGCCAUGGGCAGGUUGAAGGUUGGGUAACACUAACUGGAGGACCGAACCGACUAAUGUUGAAAAAUUAGCGGAUGACUUGUGGCUGGGGGUGAAAGGCCAAUCAAACCGGGAGAUAGCUGGUUCUCCCCGAAAGCUAUUUAGGUAGCGCCUCGUGAAUUCAUCUCCGGGGGUAGAGCACUGUUUCGGCAAGGGGGUCAUCCCGACUUACCAACCCGAUGCAAACUGCGAAUACCGGAGAAUGUUAUCACGGGAGACACACGGCGGGUGCUAACGUCCGUCGUGAAGAGGGAAACAACCCAGACCGCCAGCUAAGGUCCCAAAGUCAUGGUUAAGUGGGAAACGAUGUGGGAAGGCCCAGACAGCCAGGAUGUUGGCUUAGAAGCAGCCAUCAUUUAAAGAAAGCGUAAUAGCUCACUGGUCGAGUCGGCCUGCGCGGAAGAUGUAACGGGGCUAAACCAUGCACCGAAGCUGCGGCAGCGACGCUUAUGCGUUGUUGGGUAGGGGAGCGUUCUGUAAGCCUGCGAAGGUGUGCUGUGAGGCAUGCUGGAGGUAUCAGAAGUGCGAAUGCUGACAUAAGUAACGAUAAAGCGGGUGAAAAGCCCGCUCGCCGGAAGACCAAGGGUUCCUGUCCAACGUUAAUCGGGGCAGGGUGAGUCGACCCCUAAGGCGAGGCCGAAAGGCGUAGUCGAUGGGAAACAGGUUAAUAUUCCUGUACUUGGUGUUACUGCGAAGGGGGGACGGAGAAGGCUAUGUUGGCCGGGCGACGGUUGUCCCGGUUUAAGCGUGUAGGCUGGUUUUCCAGGCAAAUCCGGAAAAUCAAGGCUGAGGCGUGAUGACGAGGCACUACGGUGCUGAAGCAACAAAUGCCCUGCUUCCAGGAAAAGCCUCUAAGCAUCAGGUAACAUCAAAUCGUACCCCAAACCGACACAGGUGGUCAGGUAGAGAAUACCAAGGCGCUUGAGAGAACUCGGGUGAAGGAACUAGGCAAAAUGGUGCCGUAACUUCGGGAGAAGGCACGCUGAUAUGUAGGUGAAGUCCCUCGCGGAUGGAGCUGAAAUCAGUCGAAGAUACCAGCUGGCUGCAACUGUUUAUUAAAAACACAGCACUGUGCAAACACGAAAGUGGACGUAUACGGUGUGACGCCUGCCCGGUGCCGGAAGGUUAAUUGAUGGGGUUAGCCGCAAGGCGAAGCUCUUGAUCGAAGCCCCGGUAAACGGCGGCCGUAACUAUAACGGUCCUAAGGUAGCGAAAUUCCUUGUCGGGUAAGUUCCGACCUGCACGAAUGGCGUAAUGAUGGCCAGGCUGUCUCCACCCGAGACUCAGUGAAAUUGAACUCGCUGUGAAGAUGCAGUGUACCCGCGGCAAGACGGAAAGACCCCGUGAACCUUUACUAUAGCUUGACACUGAACAUUGAGCCUUGAUGUGUAGGAUAGGUGGGAGGCUUAGAAGUGUGGACGCCAGUCUGCAUGGAGCCGACCUUGAAAUACCACCCUUUAAUGUUUGAUGUUCUAACGUUGACCCGUAAUCCGGGUUGCGGACAGUGUCUGGUGGGUAGUUUGACUGGGGCGGUCUCCUCCUAAAGAGUAACGGAGGAGCACGAAGGUUGGCUAAUCCUGGUCGGACAUCAGGAGGUUAGUGCAAUGGCAUAAGCCAGCUUGACUGCGAGCGUGACGGCGCGAGCAGGUGCGAAAGCAGGUCAUAGUGAUCCGGUGGUUCUGAAUGGAAGGGCCAUCGCUCAACGGAUAAAAGGUACUCCGGGGAUAACAGGCUGAUACCGCCCAAGAGUUCAUAUCGACGGCGGUGUUUGGCACCUCGAUGUCGGCUCAUCACAUCCUGGGGCUGAAGUAGGUCCCAAGGGUAUGGCUGUUCGCCAUUUAAAGUGGUACGCGAGCUGGGUUUAGAACGUCGUGAGACAGUUCGGUCCCUAUCUGCCGUGGGCGCUGGAGAACUGAGGGGGGCUGCUCCUAGUACGAGAGGACCGGAGUGGACGCAUCACUGGUGUUCGGGUUGUCAUGCCAAUGGCACUGCCCGGUAGCUAAAUGCGGAAGAGAUAAGUGCUGAAAGCAUCUAAGCACGAAACUUGCCCCGAGAUGAGUUCUCCCUGACUCCUUGAGAGUCCUGAAGGAACGUUGAAGACGACGACGUUGAUAGGCCGGGUGUGUAAGCGCAGCGAUGCGUUGAGCUAACCGGUACUAAUGAACCGUGAGGCUUAACCUUACAACGCCGAAGGUGUUU
RNAcentral lists this ribosomal RNA (2933 nucleotides) under Escherichia coli. RNAcentral describes it as "bacterial LSU rRNA". It matches the Rfam family "Bacterial large subunit ribosomal RNA". Lineage: Bacteria; Pseudomonadati; Pseudomonadota; Gammaproteobacteria; Enterobacterales; Enterobacteriaceae. The record is from RNAcentral.